UUGCUGUGAUAUGUUUGCAUCCUGAGAGCUAGGAUGGUAUAUGUUAGAGACCUGAUUGAGAUCGGUAUCCUGAGAGAUAGGGAGAUGCUAUGCUAGUGACCUGUUAGGUCGGUAUCCUGGUUAGGAUGAUGAUAUGUUAUGUGAUCUGUUUGAUCUGCUUGUUGACUGUGAAUUGCUAUAUGAUUGUAUGUAUAUGUGCACAUGGUUGUUUGGACUGGAGUUGGGUUGAGGCGGGUCCUGCUUUGUGCUGUAGGCCAAGAUACCCAGGGCGGACCGGUUGUCCCGAAGGCCCAGCGAGCGGUCCGGAUAGGCUGUAGGCCCCAAGAGGGCGGACCAGACGUGCCGAGGCUCGGAGAGUGGACCAGGCNNNNNNNNNNNNNNNNNNNNNNNNNNNNNNNNNNNNNNNNNNNNNNNNNNNNNNNNNNNNNNNNNNNNNNNNNNNNNNNNNNNNNNNNNNNNGCAGCGGCAGGGGGAGGAGCUGGUUGGGGCUUUCAGUAUCCGGACUUCGCUAAUACGAAGCCUCCCACCUUAGAUGGAGUUCAGGAGCCGAUCGUCGCUAUGAGAUGGUUAUCAGACGUGGAGGGGUGUUUCUUCACGUGUUCAUGCCCUNACUGUAGACUCAGAGAGUGGACCAGGUGGAUUGAAGGCCCGGUGCGGGCGGACCAAUCGCACUGCAGACUCGAUGUAUGUGGCUAGACUCAGAGGGUGGACUAGGUGGAUUGAAGCCCCGGUGUGGGCAGACCAAUUGCACUGCAGACUCAAUGUAUGUGGCUAGACUCAGAGGGUGGACCAGGUGGACUGUAGGCCGGCGGACCAGUCACCCAGUAGACCCGAAGUGUAUGGUUGUUCUGUGAUCGGNNNNNNNNNNNNNNNNNNNNCACAGUAGACCCGAAGUGCAUGGUUGUUCUGUGAUCGGAUAUGUUAUGGCAUGUUAUGCGUGUAUGGUAUAUGUGGUUGGUAUUUUGGGGAUAUCUCACUAAGCUUUCGGGCUUACAGUUGUGGUUUUAUGUUUUUCAGGUUCUUCAGGUGGUCGUGGCAAGGCGAAGGCGUCAUCGUACCGCUCCUCAUGAUUUUGUAGUGUUGUGAUUCUGGGAACACAUUAAAUGUUUUGUACUGAAAAAAAUUUUGUAAAGAUUUUUUGGUAUCGAGAUGUUUUUGAAAAAAAAUUAAAAUUGGUUGUAUUUUUCGGUUGUCACAAGUUGGUAUCAGAGCCUUGGUUUGAGUGAAUUGGAGAAACAUUCGUGUGAGUCCAGUUUCAAAUCGAGGAGAGUUUUCAAAAGAGUAUUUAAAAUGGUUUUCAAAAUGAGUAAGGGAGGACGCGGAGGUACGAUCAGCCGGAGCCAGUAAGUAACCCCAAAAUACCAUGCAUGUUAUUUGUUUUUGAGCUUUGAUAGAACAGCAUGCUAGUGAUAGGCUAGGGAUCUUCAGGAUUUCANCCUUGAGGAUCACAGGUGGAGGUCAGGGUGGAGCGAAUCCCCCAAGGGCUCAGGGUCAUGCUUUUCAGCUUGUAGCAGAGGAGGUCGGGGCAGUGCCAGAGACAGCUGCGGGUAUGUUUCUUUCUUGAUGUCUUGUUAUCUUGUGAUUAUUGUGUUGUAUUGUUUUGUGCUGGUAUCUUUGUGUGGUUUUCGAUGUGGUAUUCGUCGUUUCGCGGGUUGUGGGUUGGUUAUGGGCUUUUGUUGGGGAAAUUCGUCGGUUAUCUUCCAUGAGAGUUUUAGUAGGAACCUGGCAUGGGUUUGAAGGUCGGGUAGCAUCGGCUUUCCGAGGAGUGGUUAGAUGCAGUCUGAGUUUUCUUUCGAGCGGGUUGAUCGGUGUUGAUGUGAGAUCUCGAUAAGGUUGUUUAUACUUGUGGGAAGCAGUCCGCAUGUAAGUGUUUUCCUUGUGCAGAGAUGUUCUGGGAGGUCGGUGAUGGCGACCGGUGGUUGUUAAUCAGUGCUUCAAGUGGGGGAGAAUUGGAGAAUUCUCCGGGAGAUCAAUGGGUAUUUGAGGGUGCUUAGCUGUUGGGAUUCAGCAAGCGUUCUAUCAGCCCAGAGUAUAGGCUGAUAGAAGCAAGUGUCGGGCAUGCGGGGCGGGAUACAGACCUAGGGCAUUUGAUUGUGGAGGGCCUGGAGCAGACCGGGAUCGAGCAUGUGCAAUUAAAACAGAGUUCGGAACCCUUAAAGGACUAGAACAGUACGCAUGAGAGGAUUCCGAGAGUGAUAGCUCGGAAUGAUGAAUGCUAGUUGAGCAGUCCGGAUAGACUGAAGGCCGGUAGGCGUACCAGUCAGGCCGAAGGCUCGGAGAACAGUCCAACCAAACUGAAGGCAAUGAGGGCGGUCCAGAUUGGCUGAAGGUUCUGAGAGUGGUCCAGAUGGGCUGAAGGCCUGGUGAGGCGGUCCAGUCAUGCUGAAGACUCUGCAGGUAUUGUUGGAUCGGUUCGAGGAUAUGGAUUGUGUAUGUUGCAGUGUGAUUGCUUUAGAAGGUCUGGCCCCGGGUAGUGAUCUUGAUUAGUUGAGAGAGUGCAUGGGCUUGAGAGUCCCUGUGAUGAGAGUCAGAGUAUGUGUGUUGGAUGGAUAGCGGUUACGCUAUAAAAAGGGUGGUGUAGCGUUGGGCGAGCACCGUGGCACUUGUCGGAGUGACAAUGUGCCUAAGUGGAUUCCUUGGUAAAGGAAGAGAGAGAGGUAAGAGGUGUGUAACUCCGAGAGGGAGUGCAAGUUCACGGAAGUGAAAGCGGCAGAGCAGAGUUAUGAUUAGAGUAUUUCGAGUAUGGUUCUUGAGCAGCGUGUUUGCGACAGUGGGAUAAAAGCUCAUCCGGUUUGGGAUGUCUGCUGAGGUCGCGGAGGGAAUUCCGCAAGUGUGGAGCCAAGAGGCUCGGAAGGGAUGCAGGGAGAGAGGCUUGGACUCUCAGUGUGAUUCUGAUCAGGGUAUGGGGUAUGUAUUAGUGGUUCAUCCCGGGGGAGGUUUGAGGAUAUCAUCAGCGUGUUGGGUUUUCCCAACCUAACGGUGCUAGAGCUAGUUCAGCAUGUGUAUGUGAUCGCAAGAGGAGAACUCGUGGGAGUUGCUCUGAGAUAGAGAAUGGGUAUUUCCGUCGUCAUGGAAUGGAUAGAGUGGGAUUCGGAUCGGGGAUCCGAUGGUUCUUAGUUUUCUAACCCAUAUGAGUCGAGUGAUGGUUGUGAUUUGGAGCAGUGUUGCAUCAUGAGUAGUACUCAGUUGUUAACUCGAGUUAUCAGAGGGUGAAAUCGGUGCCCGGUUUGAGACGGUGGUCAGGACACCGUAAGGAAAGAGAAAGUGUGUUUGAGUUUCGAUGGGUAUGCCUUGAGGGACUUGGCCCGGGUAAGGCCAGGUGGCGCAUUGUGGGGGUAUCUUUGGGAUUGAAUUGCUGUAGGCUUCGAGGACGAAGCCUAAUUUAAGUAGGGGAGAAUUGUAACAUCCUGAAAUAGCAAGAGUAGGGUUGAAGGGCUAAAAGUGUUAAUUGGGAAAGNNNNNNNNNNNNNNNNNNNNNNNNNNNNNGAGUAGAGUCGCGACUUGGUCGCGUGUUAAGUAGCCGACUCGGCGAGUCAAUGAGAUGGACUCGGUAAGUAGGCGCUGAGUGGAGAAAACCCUAAUUCUCGGGGUUGAGCCCUAUAUAAAGAGCUUUAUGUUUCCUCCCCAGCUUCUUUAUCACCCCCUUGAGUCCCAGAAACCCUAAAUCGUGGAGAAGCACCAUUGUUGAGUGGAUUGGAGCUUGGAGAAGUAAUUGUUGAAGAAAGUUUGGGAGUUUGAAGGUGUGGAGCAAGGGGCAUUGCUUGGAUUCGAGUUUCCUUGCAGUUUGGGCGUUCUUUUGAGGUAAUAUCUCGUUCUUAGGCUAUUGUUGUCUUGUUUCUUCAUUUUGGGGAUUGUGGGAAGCUUAUCUUGGGCUAUAUUGGAGUCUAGAGGUUAGAUCUGAGGUUGCUACCUCAGAUCUGAGAUGGAGAAGAAUCAGAGAGGAUGAAAGUCCCUUUGUUGGAGUGUUUAGUGAAGCCUUCAUGUCCCAAACCCUAACCCAAAGUGCAAAAAGCCUAGAUCUCGUCGGAUUCACGUAAAGUUUGCUACUUUACGUGAUGAAUGGGUUGUAGGAAGCUAGAUCUAUGUUUUGGAUCAAUUGCAUGGCCUGGAGUGCUUCUGUAUGGAUUCAGACCGAUGGUACUCGGCGAGUCACAUGGGUGUACUCGACGAGUUGCUUGAAGAUGAGCUGGGACUCGACGAGUUGGAAGAACAACUCGGCGAGUUGGAUGAAGAUGGCCUGGAACUCGGCGAGUUGUAUGAACAACUCGACGAGUAGGUUGAAGAUAGCCUUAGACUCGGCGAGUCUGUUCUUGGACUCGGCGAGUCUUGUCGAAGUGUCNAAUAUUUUCUGGUUGAGUCGAGAAUCGGCGAGUCAAGGGAUGACUCGGUAAGUUGUGGGCGAGUGGACUCAGAGUUGUUGGACUCGGCGAGUCUCGGGGUGACUCGGCGAGUUAGGAUGCGGAUUAAGUGAAGUUCUGAGUAUGGGAACUCGGCGAGUCAUCGGGUUGACUCAGCAAGUAGAGUCAGUCAGGGGUUGACUUUGAUCUUGUCUUUGACCAAGGGUUGACCAGUGGUUUCCAGGGGCAUUUUGGUAAUUGUUGAUUAUUGUUUUGAGUUCAGUGCAUUGGUGGUUGUCUAGUGGUGGAGAUUGUAUCAGUGAUCGGAGCAGCUUGGGUUAUCUGUUCAGUCGGCAGUUUCGAGGUAACUUAUCCUCAUUAUAUCAACAGGGUCUACGGCACCAAGGCCGGCCCUUAUCGGAUUGAGAUCCGGGUAGUUGUUGUUAUGUUGUUGCUGUGAUAUGUUUGCAUCUUGAGAGCUAGGAUGGUAUAUGUUAGAGACCUGAUUGAGAUCGGUAUCCUGAGAGAUAGGGAGUUGCUAUGCUAGUGGCCUGUUAGGUCGGUAUCCUAGUUAGGAUGAUGAUAUGUUAUGUGAUCUGUUUGAUCUGCUUGUUGACUGUGAAUUGCUAUAUGAUUGUAUGUAUAUGUGCACAUGGUUGUUUGGA
Molecule: long non-coding RNA, 5002 nt
Filed under: Lactuca sativa (garden lettuce)
Lineage: Eukaryota; Viridiplantae; Streptophyta; Magnoliopsida; Asterales; Asteraceae
Description: long non-coding RNA (LSAT_LNC010340)
Source: RNAcentral